RNAcentral lists this unclassified non-coding RNA (236 nucleotides) under Hevea brasiliensis (rubber tree). Lineage: Eukaryota; Viridiplantae; Streptophyta; Magnoliopsida; Malpighiales; Euphorbiaceae. The record is from RNAcentral.
AUUUUCUGGCAUGUCAAAAUCAGGAGGCCCAAAAUCAUGAUCAGCACUAUCAUAGUCAUUGUCUUCAUUCUUUUCAUUUGGGGUACAGAAAUCAUCAUAGUCAAUGUUCACCCCAUGAAGAAGUGAUUCCCGGAGCUUCUCAAAUAGUGGUGGAGACUGUGAGUCGACUUGCUUAGCACAACAUUUCCUCUCCCACAUCUCGUUGAGGUCGGCAUUAAUGGGACCAUGUAAUCUUG